AACGAACGCUGGCGGCAUGCCUAACACAUGCAAGUCGAACGAGACCUUCGGGUCUAGUGGCGCACGGGUGCGUAACGCGUGGGAACCUGCCCUUAGGUUCGGAAUAACUCCCCGAAAGGGGUGCUAAUACCGGAUAAUGUCUUCGGACCAAAGAUUUAUCGCCUUUGGAUGGGCCCGCGUUGGAUUAGCUAGUUGGUAGGGUAAAAGCCUACCAAGGCGACGAUCCAUAGCUGGUCUGAGAGGAUGAUCAGCCACACUGGGACUGAGACACGGCCCAGACUCGUACGGGAGGGAGCAGUGGGGAAUAUUGGACAAUGGGCGCAAGCCUGAUACAGCAAUGCCGCGGGAGUGAUGAAGGGCUUAGGGUUGUAAAGCUGUUUUACCCGGGAUGAUAAUGACAGUACCGGGAGAAUAAGCUCCGGCUAACUCCGUG
RNAcentral lists this ribosomal RNA (433 nucleotides) under uncultured bacterium. RNAcentral describes it as "partial 16S ribosomal RNA". It matches the Rfam family "Bacterial small subunit ribosomal RNA", at positions 29 to 507 of the family's 1533-position model. The record is from RNAcentral.